AGUGAACGCUGGCGGUAGGCCUAACACAUGCAAGUCGAACGGCAGCACAGUAAGAGCUUGCUCUUACGGGUGGCGAGUGGCGGACGGGUGAGGAAUACAUCGGAAUCUACUUUUUCGUGGGGGAUAACGUAGGGAAACUUACGCUAAUACCGCAUACGACCUACGGGUGAAAGCAGGGGAUCUUCGGACCUUGCGCGAUUGAAUGAGCCGAUGUCGGAUUAGCUAGUUGGCGGGGUAAAGGCCCACCAAGGCGACGAUCCGUAGCUGGUCUGAGAGGAUGAUCAGCCACACUGGAACUGAGACACGGUCCAGACUCCUACGGGAGGCAGCAGUGGGGAAUAUUGAACAAUGGGCGCAAGCCUGAUCCAGCCAUACCGCGUGGGUGAAGAAGGCCUUCGGGUUGUAAAGCCCUUUUGUUGGGAAAGAAAAGCAGCAGGUUAAUACCCCGCUGUUCGGACGGUACCCGAAGAAUAAGCACCGGCUAACUUCGU
RNAcentral lists this ribosomal RNA (491 nucleotides) under uncultured bacterium. RNAcentral describes it as "partial 16S ribosomal RNA". It matches the Rfam family "Bacterial small subunit ribosomal RNA", at positions 29 to 506 of the family's 1533-position model. The record is from RNAcentral.